RNAcentral lists this unclassified non-coding RNA (253 nucleotides) under uncultured bacterium. RNAcentral describes it as "contains 16S-23S intergenic spacer region". It matches the Rfam family "Bacterial small subunit ribosomal RNA", at positions 524 to 776 of the family's 1533-position model. The record is from RNAcentral.
UACGAGGGGGGCAAGCGUUGUUCGGAUUUACUGGGCGUAAAGGGCGUGCAGGCGGAUUGAUAAGUCCUCUGUGAAAACUGUCGGCUCAACCGGCAGCCUGCAGUCGAAACUGUCAAUCUUGAGUACAGAAGAGGAGAGCGGAAUCUCAGGUGUAGCGGUGAAAUGCGUAGAUAUCUGGGAGAACACCGGUGGCGAAGGCGGCUCUCUGGUCUGAUACUGACGCUGAUACGCGAAAGCUAGGGGAGCGAACGGG